Molecule: non-coding RNA, 259 nt
Organism: Paramuricea clavata
Lineage: Eukaryota; Metazoa; Cnidaria; Anthozoa; Malacalcyonacea; Plexauridae
Source: the annotation of a GenBank genome assembly
UUCGGAUAUGCCAGGGCUAGCCCUAGUUUUUAAUAAUGUCAUCAAUAUUAAUAAAUUCAGUCAGGAACAGGUCGAACCUAGCUAAGGGCCUGUUCAUAUGGGGAAAAGUUAUCCCGGUUAACGAGAAAACUUUCCGACUAGCCAAGUACUUUUGUUCUGUUCAUAUGGAGAAACUUUAUCCCGCUUGCCGGGUAAAGUUUUCGGCUGUGACGUAGCACUAAACAUCAAUUGAAUUGAAAAGUUGCUGACACGACAAAAA